This 253-nucleotide ribosomal RNA is filed under the name uncultured bacterium. RNAcentral's name for it is "partial 16S ribosomal RNA". It matches the Rfam family "Bacterial small subunit ribosomal RNA", at positions 524 to 776 of the family's 1533-position model. The record is from RNAcentral. RNAcentral also lists the same sequence under 1 other name.
UACGGAGGGGGCUAGCGUUGUUCGGAAUUACUGGGCGUAAAGCGCACGUAGGCGGCGAUUUAAGUCAGAGGUGAAAGCCCGGGGCUCAACCCCGGAACUGCCUUUGAGACUGGAUUGCUAGAAUCACGGAGAGGUGGGUGGAAUUCCGAGUGUAGAGGUGAAAUUCGUAGAUAUUCGGAAGAACACCAGUGGCGAAGGCGGCCCACUGGACGUGUAUUGACGCUGAGGUGCGAAAGCGUGGGGAGCAAACAGG